GUUUGUUUGUUUAAAAUGGAGCCUCGCAAUGUAAUAUGAGCUCACUUCAAACUUGUAAUCCUCCUGCCUCAGUCUCCUGAGUGCCGGGAUUACAGGUGUGAGCUACCAUCCCUAGUUAGGACCAGAGAUUUUUUUUCUUAAAGAAAUUUGUUAUUUGUCUAUUUUAAAGUUAGAACACUAACUGAAAGAAGAUGGCAGCUACCUUCAAAAUGAGAACGAGACGCAACAAUGAUGUUCACCAGGAGGGAAAUUCUGCUGAAACACUUUUCUCAUUCAUCCAGUUGCUGCCAAUGGCUCCUGUUGGUUUCCUGCUAUGUGAAGAUUUUUUGUGGAGAAUCCUAGGUACAUGGACUUUCAACUUACCCACUAACAUUUACAGACUGGAAACAGUUUCUGGAGAAUAUCCUUGGAUGGAUGAACUGGGAGUUUUUCCAACUCAUUGCAGUACUGAC
This 452-nucleotide long non-coding RNA is filed under the name Fukomys damarensis (Damara mole-rat). RNAcentral's name for it is "lncRNA (ENSFDAG00000025668.1)". Lineage: Eukaryota; Metazoa; Chordata; Mammalia; Rodentia; Bathyergidae. The record is from RNAcentral.